The sequence is a small nuclear RNA, 155 nucleotides long. Its record names the gene U2. It matches the Rfam family "U2 spliceosomal RNA". From Rfam's summary of the family: U2 is a small nuclear RNA (snRNA) component of the spliceosome (involved in pre-mRNA splicing). The record is from Ensembl.
AUCGCUUCUCGGCCUUUUGGCUAAGAUCAAGUGUAGACUCUUGAAAAGCAGCAAAUGGUUAUUAUUUAAUGCUACUAAGUUUUGAGGUUGUUCUACAACAUCAUUGUAGAAAUAGUUUAUAGCCCCUUCCCCUACCUCUUUUAACUAUUUUGUUC